CUCAGACAACAUUCUCAUCUAACCUCAGACUAGCUACCAAACUCAAGCAAAACUACUAUAGUUUUAUGCCCCCAGGAGCUUGCCUAACAUGGUCAUGCUACCUUCCAGACAACAGGUUGCAGAUGCUCCCAUGACUUCACACCGACUUCUCUGGGCAGAUGACCUCAUUGUUGUAUCCUGGACCCUUGCACCUCCAGAGCUCUGUUCCACUAAGGAAAGAUAGAAACAGGCUGGGGGUAUGAAUUGACCUAUCAAUGCCCAUGCUCAGUGGACAAGCAGCUACAGAAGCCAGAACUCCUACCUUCUGCUCCCAUAAACAACCUUGAUCCAUAAGAGAAGUGAUAGAAUGAAGUUAAGAGGACGCUGCACUCCAGCUCCAUCAGCACCCAGAGAGAGAGA
Erinaceus europaeus (western European hedgehog) is the source of this 399-nucleotide long non-coding RNA. RefSeq lists it as uncharacterized. Lineage: Eukaryota; Metazoa; Chordata; Mammalia; Eulipotyphla; Erinaceidae. The transcript is spliced from 2 exons. The record is from RefSeq and is a predicted model, not a curated record.